Molecule: ribosomal RNA, 125 nt
Filed under: Danio rerio (zebrafish)
Lineage: Eukaryota; Metazoa; Chordata; Actinopteri; Cypriniformes; Danionidae
Source: RNAcentral
CAGCAAAACACUUACUGACCACAUGAUCAUCAUAAAAACAGUGCAAUGCGUCAAUCUGAAGCUAAGCAGAGCUGUGCCCAGUCAGUACCUGGAUGGGAGAUAACAUGAGAAAGCUAAGUUGCUGC